GAAAUAAGUGACUCAAAAAUAAGCUUCUAACUUACAUUUUUAAAAGUGUAAUUCUUUUAUUAUUUCU
RNAcentral lists this transfer RNA (67 nucleotides) under Metopsia clypeata. RNAcentral describes it as "tRNA-Ser". The record is from RNAcentral. Lineage: Eukaryota; Metazoa; Arthropoda; Insecta; Coleoptera; Staphylinidae.